GAAAAAGAACAUUAUUUAAGGAUAAUAUAAGAGAUUAACAAGUAAACAUGACUAUGGACUUGAAAAAAAAACUCACAAGACGGUUUUAUUAUCAUCUGAACAAUUAAUUUGAGUUUACUUUGGAAAAUUGCUCUUAAAUUUAAAAAAUUAAGAAUAUUAUGCAAUUUAAUAGAUUUCAAGUUCUAUAUUAUUUAAGAUUGCAUGGACCGACCUUAACGACUAAUGUCUGAAAAUGUUUGUAUUGACUAUUUAUUAACGCCAUUAUCAAAUAGUUAAUAAUCAAUAAUGGUUUUUAAAAAAACAGAUUUAUGAACAAUUUGGUAGGUAAUAUCUUUUAAUUCUUAUUCUGGUCUACCUUAUGUUUCUGACUAGUCAUGUCUGAUUUAUGUAUUCGCCAAACAGUUUGAUGACGACCCUCACCUUACAAUUUUUAUAGGUGUCAUGAAAGGUACAAAUUUUCCGUUUGACCAAAACUGAAUUUUAUUUUUCGUAGUAUUUUUGUGUUAAUAUUUGUACAUGACAGAAAACUUGUUUACAUUUUAACACAUAGCUUUUCUUUAUUAAUUAAGUUAACGAAGUACCUUGAUUAAGACUUAUAGCUGUUAAAACUUUAAAUUACAUUUUCUUCGAGUAAACUUUUGUUACUUGGAUAAAUAAAAAUGUUUUUUGGCUAAGAUAAAUAAUAAAAAA
Long non-coding RNA from Daktulosphaira vitifoliae (grape phylloxera), 690 nucleotides. RefSeq lists it as uncharacterized. Lineage: Eukaryota; Metazoa; Arthropoda; Insecta; Hemiptera; Phylloxeridae. The record is from RefSeq and is a predicted model, not a curated record. The transcript has 4 exons.